This 460-nucleotide ribosomal RNA is filed under the name uncultured bacterium. RNAcentral's name for it is "partial 16S ribosomal RNA". It matches the Rfam family "Bacterial small subunit ribosomal RNA", at positions 338 to 795 of the family's 1533-position model. The record is from RNAcentral.
CCUACGGGAGGCAGCAGUGAGGAAUAUUGGUCAAUGGACGGAAGUCUGAACCAGCCAUGUCGCGUGCAGGAAGAAGGCUCUACGAGUUGUAAAAUGCUGUUGUACAAGGGUAAACCUGAAUACGUGUAUUCAGCUGAAAGUACUGUACGAAUAAGGAUCGGCUAACUCCGUGCCAGCAGCCGCGGUAAUACGGAGGAUCCAAGCGUUAUCCGGAUUUAUUGGGUUUAAAGGGUGCGUAGGCGGAUUGAUAAGUUAGCGGUGAAAUGUCCGAGCUUAACUCGGGAACUGCCUCUCAUACUGUUGAUCUAGAGAGUAGCUGCGGUAGGCGGAAUGUAUGGUGUCGCGGUUACAUGCUUAGAGAUCAUACAGAACACCGAUUGCGACGGCAGCUUACCAAUCUAUAUCUGACGUUGAGGCACGAAAGCGUGUGGAGCAAACAGGAUUAGAUACCCGGGUAGUC